AGAGUUUGAUCCUGGCUCAGGACGAACGCUGGCGGCGUGCUUAACACAUGCAAGUCGAGCGAUGAGAUCCCUUCGGGGAUGGAUUAGCGGCGAACGGGUGAGGAACACGUGAGGAAUCUGCCUUCUACACUGGGAUAACUCCGGGAAACCGGGGCUAAUACCGGAUAUGAAACUCGGUGGCAUCACUGAGUUUGGAAAGUUUUUCGGUAGAAGAUGACCUCGCGGCCUAUCAGCUUGUUGGUGAGGUAAUGGCUCACCAAGGCGACGACGGGUAGCCGGCCUGAGAGGGCGACCGGCCACACUGGGACUGAGACACGGCCCAGACUCCUACGGGAGGCAGCAGUGGGGAAUAUUGGGCAAUGGAGGAAACUCUGACCCAGCGACGCCGCGUGCGGGAUGAAGGCCUUCGGG
Molecule: ribosomal RNA, 411 nt
Filed under: uncultured bacterium
Lineage: Bacteria
Description: bacterial SSU rRNA
Rfam family: Bacterial small subunit ribosomal RNA
Source: RNAcentral